CGCGACGAGCAGAGCAGGGAGGAAGAGAGUGUGAAACCCAACCUAAAAUUGGAGCUCCCGCUCCGCCGCCUCCUCCCCCUACUUAUCCCCUACCCGCGGAUCGACCCCAACCCUAGGCCCCCCCGCCAUUCCCCCUUCCCCUCCUCGCCGCCAUGCCCCGCCGCCGCCGCACCCGCACCGUCGACAACGUCACCAUCGACCUCGUCGACAGCGACGACGAGUGCAAAAACAAGCGUCCUCGAACAAGACAAAAAAAAGCACCAAGGACUGCGAGGGGCUCCAAAAGUGCAUUGCCUUCUUGUGAUGAUGCUCUAACCUCAAAUAAAAGAUCAAAUCGCAUUGCAACAAGCAACAGGGACAAAAAGAAUAAAGACAAAUUGGAUACUGACAUUUUUGAAUCAUACCUGGAGGAUCUUUGGAAGCACGUUGAUGAAGAAAAGAGGAGUGCUUAUGCAUACUUUGAUUCAUUGUGGUUUAACAUGUACAACAGUGGACAUAAUAAACCAAAUGUCCUUAAAUGGAUUAAGGCGAAAAAUGUAUUUUCAAGACAGUAUGUCUUUGUUCCUAUUGUUUGCUGGGGACACUGGAACCUCCUUGUCUUGUGCAACUUCGGCAAGACAGAUUACCUUGGUACUGACAAAGGACCACGCAUGCUGCUUUUGGAUUCGCUUAAAACAACAAAUCCGACAAGGUUGCGAUCGGCUAUCAGAAGAUUUAUUGCUGAUAUUUUUAAAACUGAAGAGAGGGAAGAGAGUGAGCAAUACAUUAACAAAAUAUGUCUUGAAUUCCCUGAGGUGCCACAGCAGAAUGGGGAUGAAUGUGGUAUAUAUGUUCUUUAUUUUAUCUACUGUUUUCUUCAGAACAAGAUACUGGGAGAAGAUUUCAGCCAGCUGUUUGAUGAGCCAGAAUUAGAGAAUUUCCGCAAGGGUGUUCAUUCAUUCCAGGAGAAUAGAAAAAAAGAAACUGAAGAGUAGGUCAGCAUAGUGGAUGGCAAGAUUUCACCAAGUAUAUGUAGUUAUCAUGUAUGUAAGACUACUAAUAUAAUGGCAAGUGACUGCUUCAUCUUCCUGGUGGUAAAAUUUGAGGAAGUUUGAAGAUUGUCGAGAAUAUGUUUGUCAUACAGUUCAUGCCGUCAAGAGGAAGAUGGCUGUUUGUCCAGCGCAAAGCUUCAGUGACAGUUAGCAUCUAUUUAGUCAUACAGAAUCUGCGGAUGAUUCCUUUCCUUAAAUAGGUUAAAAAUAUCAUUUAGUGUAUUUGAGUGAUUUGAUAGGAUACUUAUUGCCGGGAAAUGCUGGGUGGGAUUUCCACCACCCUUUCAGAAUAUUUAGCAGAGUGUUAUAUGAUGUAUAUCAAUGUUUGUAUUCAGACUUCAAAGAUAUACUUCCAGGCAAUACCAUUACUGAUUAGUACUUGAUGCACCUAAAUGUUUUUAGCAUCAGCAAUCUGGAAGUAGCAUUAUGCUGUGCUCUGUAUGAUAGUAAAACAGAACAAAGAUUACAUAUGGUGUAUGAUACUGUAUCUAUGACACUGGGAGAUCAUAUAUGAACAUAUGAAGGAUUGUUCGUACCAUGCUUGGAA
Molecule: RNA transcript, 1578 nt
Organism: Oryza brachyantha (malo sina)
Lineage: Eukaryota; Viridiplantae; Streptophyta; Magnoliopsida; Poales; Poaceae
Gene name: probable ubiquitin-like-specific protease 2B
Exons: 9
Source: RefSeq, a predicted model, not a curated record